This 236-nucleotide unclassified non-coding RNA is filed under the name rhizosphere metagenome. Its description in RNAcentral is "partial ribosomal RNA internal transcribed spacer region". The record is from RNAcentral.
GUAGGUGAACCUGCGGAAGGAUCAUUAGCAAAACUACAAUUGUUCUGUUGAAGGGCUUUGCAAUCUCUUUGAGGGGUUGCUCGGCAAUCUCUUUGAGGGGUUGCUCGCAAGCGAGCAAUGUGCCUGUCGUCUGCUCUACCGAGCAGAAGCACAGGCCGUGCUAUCAAAUCUCUGAAUUUAAUUGACAUUGAACAGUUUAUACAAAUCAACUUUUAACAAUGGAUCUCUUGGCUCCU